CCUACGGGAGGCUGCAGUGAGGAAUAUUGGUCAAUGGACGCAAGCCUGAACCAGCCAAGUCGCGUGAAGGAUGACGGCCCUACGGGUUGUAAACUGCUUUUAUAAAAGGAUAAACUUGAGCACGUGUACCUAGUUGUAUGUACUUUAUGAAUAAGGAUCGGCUAACUCCGUGCCAGCAGCCGCGGUAAUACGGAGGAUCCAAGCGUUAUCCGGAUUUAUUGGGUUUAAAGGGAGCGUAGGUGGAUUGUUAAGUUAGUUGUGAAAUGUUGAGGCUCAACUGGAAAAUUGCAAUUGAUACUGUCAGUCUUGAGUAUAGUUGCGGUAGGCGGAAUGUGUGGUGUAGCGGUGAAAUGCUUAGAGAUCACGAAGAACUCCGAUUGCGAAGGCAGCUUACCAAACUGUAACUGACGUUGAUGCACGAAAGUGUGGGUAGCAAACAGGAUUAGAUACCCGAGUAGUC
Molecule: ribosomal RNA, 460 nt
Filed under: uncultured bacterium
Lineage: Bacteria
Description: partial 16S ribosomal RNA
Rfam family: Bacterial small subunit ribosomal RNA
Source: RNAcentral